UGGGGGUCAGUGAAAACCGAUACACGAGUAAAUUUGAGCUACUAAAAGGAACAAACACAAUUCCACCCCCAC
RNAcentral lists this transfer RNA (72 nucleotides) under Pseudunio marocanus. RNAcentral describes it as "tRNA-Gln". Lineage: Eukaryota; Metazoa; Mollusca; Bivalvia; Unionida; Margaritiferidae. The record is from RNAcentral.